UUUUUGCUAGUUCAUUACAAGGAGGUAUGCAAUGCAUAUACCAGCAUACCAGGUCAAGUAUCACAUGCAGCACCAUGGUUUAUCCUUCAAAGAAUACUCCUGCUUAACACCGUAUUUCCACAAAACACUUUAACACCACCACAGUGAGAUAACCAGGCAGUGCCUUAGCCUUAGUCUCCCUGCUUCUGAGUUUCAGUGUGCAAUCUGCUCCAGCCCAGCUCCACAACAAGCCAAAUCAGCCACAUACUACAGCCCCCACCUCCUUAUAUGCAUUUCCACAGGCAAAAAGCCAACAAGCAUGAUGCAAUGCACACUGGGCAACAGAAACAUAAGGCCCUCAGUGUCUUCAGUGGCAUUCCUGGGCCACAUAUUUUAAGUAACUGUCAAGUACUGAUGUAACAUGUAUUUCAGUUCUUUCCCGAAUUAGUAAUACAUCUACAGCAGCACCUUGUAGCGAACACAUUUUCAGCAUGACUGAAACCUGACAGAAAAUGGCCAGAAAAACUGAAAUCCUUUUUCCCCUUUGUUGUGGAGUGCAGUACACAGUAUAUGUAACUAUGCAAGACUCACCAGAACCCUAAAAGCAAAGGCAUGCUAUGUGGCAUUUGGCAAAUUAUCAUCAUUUCCUCCAUGUAUAAAACCCAAACAGUUCCAAAACCUCAAUCACACACACAGAAGAAAUUGUUGGUUGUCUCACAAGAUUACAGGAAUUAGUUCAACUGUUUGACAGAGCAACACAUGUAGUAUUCAUUUUCCAUUUUGUAGGCAUGGGAAAUCACUGUUCCUUAAGCAUCUAAUGACAUUCCAAGAAAUGCUUGAGAUAAAAAUUCAUUAUUUUUUUUAAACUGCAUGUGCUUCCUACAAGAAAUAAAUCAGAAUAAAGACAUUGCCAAAUUGAAACAGUAAGAGCGGUGAUAAUUUAUGCUAGUGCACAGGGAUAAAGCAUUUACAAGAGAGCUCCUUCUCAUUCCAGGUGUGUCAUGAGAAAGAAAAACCCAGCAUGUCUCCGUUAUGUCAGAAGUACCUGAGAAUCAAAGCUAAAUCUCUUAUGCAUUUACCAAGCACCCAUUAGAGAGCUACGCAAUUUACAUUUCAAAUUAGACAUUAUAUUUAUAAAAUAUUCUUGUACUAAAAGUCACAAGAUUUUAUAGAAAAAACCUCAUCACAUUCUAUUAAAUGCAGGAACAAUGUUACGUGUCAUAGCUUCUGUAAUUAAAACUGUAACACAUUUCUUGUAACUACAGGGGCACUACUGUUUAAAAAUCCUUUCUGGAAAGACAGUUUACUUUGUUUCUUACUUUUUAAAGAUCUGUAAUUUAAUUCAAAAGGACUGCCCAAGCUAUCUAGUGCCAUGAUUCCAUGAUUAAAAUAUUUGAUAUUAAAAAAAAAAAAAAAAAAAAA
Molecule: long non-coding RNA, 1401 nt
Filed under: Strigops habroptila (Kakapo)
Lineage: Eukaryota; Metazoa; Chordata; Aves; Psittaciformes; Psittacidae
Description: lncRNA (ENSSHBG00005019813.1)
Source: RNAcentral